Molecule: transfer RNA, 84 nt
Filed under: Klebsiella phage Pylas
Lineage: Duplodnaviria; Heunggongvirae; Uroviricota; Caudoviricetes; Schitoviridae
Description: tRNA-Ser
Rfam family: tRNA
About the family: Transfer RNA (tRNA) molecules are approximately 80 nucleotides in length.
Source: RNAcentral
GGAAGAUAGCGCUAGUGGUAGCAAACUGGAUUUGAACUCCGGGCCAUCGGUAACGGUGAGGGUUCGACUCCUUUAUCUUCCGCC